Molecule: long non-coding RNA, 749 nt
Filed under: Populus trichocarpa (black cottonwood)
Lineage: Eukaryota; Viridiplantae; Streptophyta; Magnoliopsida; Malpighiales; Salicaceae
Description: long non-coding RNA (PTRI_LNC001599)
Source: RNAcentral
UUUUAUUGUUAUUUGUGUUGAUUUUAAUAUUUUUUAAGUUUAUUUGUUUUUCAAUUUUAUUUUAGAUCAUUUUAUUUUAUUUUAUUUUUAAUCCAAUUUGGUCAUUAUUUUUUUAUUAAUAUUUUUUUAUAUCAUUUUCUUGAUUUAUUUUUUUAUUUUAUUUUUUUAAUUUUAUCGUUUAAUAUUUUAUUUCAUUUAAUUUUUUUAUCCAAUCUUGAUUUUUAUUUUUUAAAAAAAAUUCUUAAUUUAUUUUAUUUUUCAAAUUAGUCUCUAAUUAUUUUCUUUCAUUUAACUUAUCUAUCAAAUUUAGUUCUCGUUGUUUUGAUUGUUACUUGUUUUUGUCUUUUAACUUUUUAUGAUUGAGGAUUUUGUUUUUUUAUUUUUUUUAUAUUUGUCUUCUACGAAGUAAUCUUGAUCUCAAAACUUGAGUUAAUGGUUUUGAAUAUUCACCAAGUUUAAGUUUGGUUUUUUUUUAGUUUUUUUUAAUUGAUUUUUUAUUUAUUUUUAUUUUUUAACAUUAGAUUUUGGGUCUUGAGCUUUGUGGUUUGUUUUAUAUUUUUUGUGGUGUUAUUGUGACUCAUUUUAGAUAGCGGGAUAAUCGAGUUAACUUGAGAAUUUUUUUUUUUAUGUUUUUUUAUGAAAUUGAUUUUUUUUUUCACUUUAAUCAUUUGACAUUAAAUUAUUGGUUCUUGAACUUUAUGAUAUUUUUGCUUUUUUUGUGGUGUUAUUCGAGUGCAGGUUAGUUAAGU